GUGGGGAAUAUUGCACAAUGGGCGGAAGCCUGAUGCAGCAACGCCGCGUGCGGGAUGACGGCCUUCGGGUUGUAAACCGCUUUCGCCUGUGACGAAGCGUGAGUGACGGUAAUGGGUAAAGAAGCACCGGCUAACUACGUGCCAGCAGCCGCGGUGAUACGUAGGGUGCGAGCGUUGUCCGGAUUUAUUGGGCGUAAAGGGCUCGUAGGUGGUUGAUCGCGUCGGAAGUGUAAUCUUGGGGCUUAACCCUGAGCGUGCUUUCGAUACGGGUUGACUUGAGGAAGGUAGGGGAGAAUGGAAUUCCUGGUGGAGCGGUGGAAUGCGCAGAUAUCAGGAGGAACACCAGUGGCGAAGGCGGUUCUCUGGGCCUUUCCUGACGCUGAGGAGCGAAAGCGUGGGGAGCGA
This 405-nucleotide ribosomal RNA is filed under the name uncultured Propionibacterium sp. Its description in RNAcentral is "bacterial SSU rRNA". It matches the Rfam family "Bacterial small subunit ribosomal RNA", at positions 354 to 771 of the family's 1533-position model. Lineage: Bacteria; Bacillati; Actinomycetota; Actinomycetes; Propionibacteriales; Propionibacteriaceae. The record is from RNAcentral.